GCCCUGCUCACACGGCCCGGGCCGGCCCCUAGUCCCCGCUCUCCCAGACUCGUGUAUAUUGGCGAGCUGGAUGCAGGCUUUGCCAUGCAAGGGUUUUUUUGUUGUUGUCGAAAUCUUGUUGGUCUCGUAAAACAUCCCGUCUCUACCACGAGUCCUGGUUGCCUUUUCCUCGAGACCAACAUGGCCCAGCCUGGAUACGAACUUUCAUUUCUACCCAGGAGAACUUCGACCAUCUUCUCUCCGAUGCCUGACGAAGGGUGUUUGUGCCCGAAAGCUUGCAAUUAAAGAAGAUUUUGUUGCGAAAAUCUUGUUGGUCUAAUAAAAGAUAUCUCUAUCACGA
Alligator mississippiensis (American alligator) is the source of this 340-nucleotide long non-coding RNA. RefSeq lists it as uncharacterized. NCBI's taxonomy places the organism in Eukaryota, Metazoa, Chordata, Crocodylia, Alligatoridae. The transcript is spliced from 2 exons. The record is from RefSeq and is a predicted model, not a curated record.